ACAGGAUCUCGGACCACAAACCAAGGAGUCUCGUGGCCUUGGAUUCCCAGACCCUAGGAUGGUAUCCCUCUGACAGCUGGAACCAGGCAAGGGGGAACACACCUCAGCCUCAGAGCAGCCUCUGGACACUCUCCAGGUAACAUGAAAAUAACUUGUGCAAACACAGCCCCCAUGCCAGAAAGUCCAGUGCCCUAGGAAGGGCUAUCCUGAAUUCUGACCCUGAUGUUUGCCAAAGGAGAAUGCAGCAAGACAGUGUCAGGUUUGGCCAAAUGUGACCCUGCUCAGAGCUAUACCACUUGAAUACUGGCACAAAAGAAAGGACCAAGGUAAAGCAAAUUUAUUUGGGAGGAACAAUUCCCUUCAAAAGUAGAUCCCUAUCUUUAGGAGACAAAAGGCAACACUGUGAUGAACCCACACCCCCUAGUUUGGGGGGCCACAGGCCCAACCCCAUUCUGCUGUGGGCUCUAGCCUCAGUAGCCAGAUCCAGGUAAACCUCAGUUUCAAGAAUAAAGGUGAGCCACAGACAUGCAGCACCACCAGAGACAACAACACCCCGUGGCAAGAAGACCAUGUUCUGGACUGUCUCC
This 587-nucleotide long non-coding RNA is filed under the name Homo sapiens (human). RNAcentral describes it as "non-protein coding lnc-DALRD3-1:11". The record is from RNAcentral. Lineage: Eukaryota; Metazoa; Chordata; Mammalia; Primates; Hominidae.